RNAcentral lists this ribosomal RNA (433 nucleotides) under uncultured bacterium. Its description in RNAcentral is "partial 16S ribosomal RNA". It matches the Rfam family "Bacterial small subunit ribosomal RNA", at positions 29 to 507 of the family's 1533-position model. The record is from RNAcentral.
AACGAACGCUGGCGGCAUGCCUAACACAUGCAAGUCGAACGAGACCUUCGGGUCUAGUGGCGCACGGGUGCGUAACGCGUGGGAACCUGCCCUUAGGUUCGGAAUAACUCCCCGACAGGGGUGCUAAUACCGGAUAAUGUCUUCGAACCAAUGAUUUAUCGCCUUUGGAUGGGCCCGCGUUGGAUUAGCUAGUUGGUAGGGUAAAAGCCUACCAAGGCGACGAUCCAUAGCUGGUCUGAGAGGAUGAUCAGCCACACUGGGACUGAGACCCGGCCCAGACUCCUACGGGAGGCAGCAGUGGGGAAUAUUGGAAAAUGGGCGAAAGCCUGAUCCAGCAAUGCCGCGUGAGUGAUGAAGGCCUGAGGGUUGUAAAGCUCUUUUAACCGGGAUGAUAAUGACAGUACCGGGAGAAUAAGCCCCGGCUAACUCCGUG